UACGUAGGGUGCGAGCGUUGUCCGGAAUUACUGGGCGUAAAGCGCGCGUAGGUGGUUCGUUAAGUUAGGAGUGAAAGCCCCCGGGCUCAACCUGGGAAUUGCUUCUAAAACUGGCGAGCUAGAGUAUGGUAGAGGGUGGUGGAAUUUCCUGUGUAGCGGUGAAAUGCGUAGAUAUAGGAAGGAACAUCAGUGGCGAAGGCGACCACCUGGACUGAUACUGACACUGAGGUGCGAAAGCGUGGGGAGCAAACAGGAUUAGAUACCCCGGUAGUCCCUGA
Molecule: ribosomal RNA, 278 nt
Filed under: uncultured prokaryote
Description: partial 16S ribosomal RNA
Rfam family: Bacterial small subunit ribosomal RNA
Source: RNAcentral